UUAGAGUUUGAUCCUGGCUCAGAUUGAACGCUGGCGGCAUGCUUUACACAUGCAAGUCGAACGGCAGCACGGGGGCAACCCUGGUGGCGAGUGGCGAACGGGUGAGUAAUGCAUCGGAACGUGUCUUCGAGUGGGGGAUAACGCACCGAAAGGUGUGCUAAUACCGCAUAAUCUCUACGGAGAAAAGCAGGGGAUCGCAAGACCUUGCGCUCUUGGAGCGGCCGAUGUCUGAUUAGCUAGUUGGUGAGGUAAAGGCUUACCAAGGCGACGAUCAGUAGCUGGUCUGAGAGGACGACCAGCCACACUGGGACUGAGACACGGCCCAGACUCCUACGGGAGGCAGCAGUGGGGAAUUUUGGACAAUGGGGGAAACCCUGAUCCAGCCAUGCCGCGUGAGUGAAGAAGGCCUUCGGGUUGUAAAGCUCUUUCAGCCGGAACGAAACGGUCACGGCUAAUACCUGUGACUACUGACGGUACCGGAAGAAGAAGCACCGGCUAACUACGUGCCAGCAGCCGCGGUACGCC
Molecule: ribosomal RNA, 525 nt
Filed under: uncultured bacterium
Lineage: Bacteria
Description: bacterial SSU rRNA
Rfam family: Bacterial small subunit ribosomal RNA
Source: RNAcentral